GUCGCUCCUACCGAUGGGGUGAUCCGGUGAAUGAUUCGGACUCUGAUAUUGCUAGCUACUAGCCUUGUCGGAGGAAGUUUUGUGAACCUUAUCACUUGGAGGAAGGAGAAGUCG
RNAcentral lists this ribosomal RNA (114 nucleotides) under uncultured eukaryote. Its description in RNAcentral is "partial small subunit ribosomal RNA". It matches the Rfam family "Eukaryotic small subunit ribosomal RNA", at positions 1675 to 1791 of the family's 1831-position model. The record is from RNAcentral.